UACGUAGGGGGCAAGCGUUAUCCGGAUUUACUGGGUGUAAAGGGAGCGUAGACGGCAAGGCAAGUCUGAUGUGAAAACCCAUGGCUUAACCAUGGGACUGCAUUGGAAACUGUCUGGCUGGAGUGCAGGAGAGGUAAGUGGAAUUCCUAGUGUAGCGGUGAAAUGCGUAGAUAUUAGGAGGAACACCAGUGGCGAAGGCGGCUUACUGGACUGUAACUGACGUUGAGGCUCGAAAGCGUGGGGAGCAAACAGG
This 253-nucleotide ribosomal RNA is filed under the name uncultured bacterium. Its description in RNAcentral is "partial 16S ribosomal RNA". It matches the Rfam family "Bacterial small subunit ribosomal RNA", at positions 524 to 776 of the family's 1533-position model. The record is from RNAcentral.